Molecule: ribosomal RNA, 446 nt
Filed under: uncultured bacterium
Lineage: Bacteria
Description: partial 16S ribosomal RNA
Rfam family: Bacterial small subunit ribosomal RNA
Source: RNAcentral
CCUACGGGUGGCAGCAGUCGAGAAUCAUUCACAAUGGGGGAAACCCUGAUGGUGCGACGCCGCGUGGGGGAAUGAAGGUCUUCGGAUUGUAAACCCCUGUCAUGUGGGAGCAAAUUAAAAAGAUAGUACCACAAGAGGAAGAGACGGCUAACUCUGUGCCAGCAGCCGCGGUAAUACAGAGGUCUCAAGCGUUGUUCGGAAUCACUGGGCGUAAAGCGUGCGUAGGCUGUUUCGUAAGUCGUGUGUGAAAGGCGCGGGCUCAACCCGCGGACGGCACAUGAUACUGAGAGACUAGAGUAAGGGAGGGGGAACCGGAAUUCUCGGUGUAGCAGUGAAAUGCGUAGAUAUCGAGAGGAACACUCGUGGCGAAGGCGGGUUCCUGGACAUUAACUGACGCUGAGGCACGAAGGCCAGGGGAGCGAAAGGGAUUAGAUACCCCAGUAGUC